GAUGAAGAACGUAGCGAAAUGCGAUAAGUAAUGUGAAUUGCAGAAUUCAGUGAAUCAUCGAAUCUUUGAACGCACAUUGCGCCCGCCAGUAUUCUGGCGGGCAUGCCUGUUCGAGCGUCAUUACAACCCUCAGGCCCCCGGGCCUGGCGUUGGGGAUCGGCGGAGCCCCCCGUGGGCACACGCCGUCCCCCAAAUGCAGUGGCGGUCCCGCCGCAGCUUCCAUCGCGUAGUAGCUAACACCUCGCGACUGGAGAGCGGCGCGGCCACGCCGUAAAACACCCAACUCUUCUGAAGUUGACCUCGAAUCAGGUAGGAAUACCCGCUGAACUUAAGCAUAUCAAUAAGCGUAGGA
This 352-nucleotide unclassified non-coding RNA is filed under the name soil metagenome. Its description in RNAcentral is "partial contains 5.8S ribosomal RNA, internal transcribed spacer 2, and large subunit ribosomal RNA". The stretch from base 1 to 120 matches the Rfam family "5.8S ribosomal RNA", at positions 35 to 154 of the family's 154-position model. The record is from RNAcentral.